CGCCCCCUUAGUGACGCUCGUCUCAGUUCAGCACUCUGACUGCAUUUAUAAUUUCCUGAACGAGACGCACCGUCAAAAUCUCCUGCCACCAUGACUCUACUGGUGCUGCUCUCUGUCUUCGUAGUCUUCAUUCAGGACUCAAGAUGUCAGAUUUCUGUGACUCAACCAUCAGCCCCAAAGUCAGUUUCUCCUGGAGGGAGCGUCACCUUCAGCUGUACCACUGGAAGUAAUGUGUAUAGCUGGAUGGCCUGGUACCAGCAGAGACCCGGACAAACUCCUAAACUCCUAAUCUAUAAAGCAAGCUCUCUCUCCAGUGGCACACCAAGUCGCUUCACUGGCAGCGGUUCAGGAACUUCAUACAGUUUGACUAUCAGUGGAGUCCAGCCUGAAGAUGCUGGUCACUACUACUGUCAGCAGGGCUAUAACUGGCCUCUCACACAGUGAUUGAGACUCGUACAA
Non-coding RNA from Erpetoichthys calabaricus (reedfish), 459 nucleotides. Lineage: Eukaryota; Metazoa; Chordata; Cladistia; Polypteriformes; Polypteridae. The record is from the annotation of a RefSeq genome assembly.